CGUCAAUCUCUUGGUGAAGGAAGGUCGGGGUGGUCUGGUCGAUUGUCUGAUCAACUGUCUUUUGUAGGCAUUUCUUAAGACAGGGUAACACACAACAAACAAGAAGAGCGAGGAUGAUUAUCGUUAUUAAAAUGGCAACACCUAUUUGGGCCAGAGCACCUUGCCAUCCAGUCAUCCAUCCAAACCAUCUUUCCCAUGGAUCUGCGGCCCCAGAAUUUUGUUUCAGCUCAUUGGACAAACUCUUUAACUUUUCUAUUGCCAACGUUACCUUACCAUUAGGGCCUGUAUUGUCUGGAAUAUAGGUACAGCAUGUUAUGGUGUCUGGGAGUAUUUUACAUACUCUCCCUUUUUCUGCCAAAAUCAUUUUAAAGCUUAUUCUAUUCUGGAAGGUCAUCUGAGAGGUAGCUUGUAACCGCCCUAUCCCACCAUAUAUCCCAUAACAAGUAUAGUUCCCAGGAUAUAUAGUAAUGCCUUCGUUUGGGCAUAAUAUUUUUAGUAAUGAUUGGGUAUUAAGUUUCCAUGACUCGCAUGCUAACCGCUUAGGUUUAAAUACAGUGUAGAGACUUAAAACGCAUACUUCAUAUCCGGAGGAAGGUUCAGGGAUACUGUACCUGGGUGAGGCCUCGCUCCUCUGCAGACAUAGCAGUUAGACUUGUUAUGUUUAGUAGCAUUGUAUUUCAUCCAUUCAAGUCACAAGUUAGUGUCAGAGAAACCUGUCUCUACAGCCCUCUUAUCCUCAAAUAUGGGAUGACUACCAUGUCUUUUAAAGUCCUAAUGUGUGGUUUGAGGGGAUUAACAGUCAUAUGCGUGGCACCUACCCAUUCAGCUGAGUCAUACAUGUCCUGUAAGAAAAAGGUCUCCUGUUUAUUGUAUAAACCUCUUCCCUUCCAAUUCAGAUUUUAUUAGCCGUAAUGCUUGGGAGAAUAGAUUCAAACUUAGUUUCUUACCUUAAAAUUAUUUGGUACCCCCCUUGACACCCCUAUAGCAUUAAUAUACAUAUAUAUAUAUAUGUGUGGGUAAAACCACCCUUUAUAGGGGUACUCCUUUUUGUCCUGAAGCAUGAAUGAGGUGUGUCAAGAGUACCUUGGGGAUUGUCAUGUGUUAUGUGUAUGGACAUAAUAACCUAGGCUAGGGCACAUUUACUUAUUCUUAGAAAUCUUGUCUCAUGCUACCCUAGUACUGGCAGAUUCAGAUCAUUUAAACAUUCAAUAUUAAUAUCACCACAAACUCAAGAUAAGCAGAUGAUCUUG
Molecule: long non-coding RNA, 1250 nt
Filed under: Pelobates cultripes (western spadefoot toad)
Lineage: Eukaryota; Metazoa; Chordata; Amphibia; Anura; Pelobatidae
Source: RNAcentral